AGCCCCGCAAAACACCAAAGUGCAAAUUUGGAGACGCACCCCAAUAGGUGCCGGGGCUUC
RNAcentral lists this transfer RNA (60 nucleotides) under Cyrtodactylus sp. TPK-2020. RNAcentral's name for it is "tRNA-Cys". Lineage: Eukaryota; Metazoa; Chordata; Lepidosauria; Squamata; Gekkonidae. The record is from RNAcentral.